GAUCCCAGACCUGGGAUUCAGAUGUCAUUCUCUGUGUGGUGUCCUGAUUUUAUUCCUAGGAAAAGGAUCCCCAAAGGAGGUGUAAGGAUCCUGGACUCUAGUGCCUGCAAGAAGCUUCAGCCACCUUCACAGGCUCAGACUCGCCGUCCAUUAGGAGGUGAAGACUGGAUGGGAGCUGCUGAAUCGACCUUGAUAUGCCAUGUCCUUGUGUGGAUGAAGGACCUACAUCUCAGGGAUGGCCAGCAGCAGAUGUAAGAAUGUGUCCAAGAAUAGUCUGAACAACCUACACUGAUAGAUCUCAGCCACUCAGCAGAAUGCGGGAGAGCCGAGUGCUGAUGG
Long non-coding RNA from Trachemys scripta elegans, 339 nucleotides. RefSeq lists it as uncharacterized. The record is from RefSeq and is a predicted model, not a curated record. The transcript has 3 exons. Lineage: Eukaryota; Metazoa; Chordata; Testudines; Emydidae.